This 444-nucleotide ribosomal RNA is filed under the name uncultured bacterium. RNAcentral's name for it is "partial 16S ribosomal RNA". It matches the Rfam family "Bacterial small subunit ribosomal RNA", at positions 338 to 795 of the family's 1533-position model. The record is from RNAcentral.
CCUACGGGUGGCAGCAGUGGGGAAUAUUGGGCAAUGGAGGAAACUCUGACCCAGCAAUGCCGCGUGAGUGAAGAAGGUCUUCGGAUUGUAAAGUUCUUUAGUCAGGGAAGGAUAAAAUGACGGUACCUGAAGAAUAAGCUCCGGCUAACUACGUGCCAGCAGCCGCGGUAAUACGUAGGGAGCAAGCGUUGUUCGGAAUGGCUGGGCGUAAAGGGUGCGUAGGCGGUUAUACAAGUUAGAAGGGAAAUACCCAGGGCUUAACUUGGGUGCUGCUUCUAAAACUGUAAGACUUGAGUGCAGGAGAGGUUAGUGGAAUUCCUAGUGUAGCGGUGGAAUGCGUAGAUAUUAGGAGGAACACCAGUGGCGAAGGCGGCCUGCUGGGCUUUUACUGACGCUGAGGCUCGAAAGUGUGGGGAGCAAACAGGAUUAGAUACCCCAGUAGUC